AACGUAGGGGGCGAGCGUUGCCCGGAUUCACUGGGCGUAAAGCGCGUGUAGGCGGUCCGUUAAGUCGGGUGUGAAAUCUCCGAGCUCAACUCGGAAAGUGCACCCGAUACUGGCGGACUUGAGGACGGUAGAGGUCGGUGGAAUGACCAGUGUACCGGUGAAAUGGACAGAUAUUGGUCGGAACACCAGUGGCGAAGGCGGCCGACUGGGCCGUUCCUGACGCUGAGACGCGAAAGCCAGGGGAGCGAACCGG
This 253-nucleotide ribosomal RNA is filed under the name uncultured bacterium. RNAcentral's name for it is "partial 16S ribosomal RNA". It matches the Rfam family "Bacterial small subunit ribosomal RNA", at positions 524 to 776 of the family's 1533-position model. The record is from RNAcentral.